UGGGGAAUAUUGCACAAUGGGCGAAAGCCUGAUGCAGCAACGCCGCGUGAGUGAUGAAGGCCUUCGGGUUGUAAAGCUCUGUCUUUUGGGACGAUAAUGACGGUACCAAAGGAGGAAGCCACGGCUAACUACGUGCCAGCAGCCGCGGUAAUACGUAGGUGGCAAGCGUUGUCCGGAUUUACUGGGCGUAAAGGAUGCGUAGGCGGAUUUUUAAGUGAGAUGUGAAAACCCUAAGCUUAACUUGGGGACUGCAUUUCAUACUGGAAAUCUAGAGUGCGGGAGAGGAGAAUGGAAUUCCUAGUGUAGCGGUGAAAUGCGUAGAGAUUAGGAAGAACACCAGUGGCGAAGGCGAUUCUCUGGACCGUAACUGACGCUGAGGCAUGAAAGCGUGGGUAGCAAACAGGAUUAGAUACCCUGGUAGUCCACGCCGUAAACGAUGAGUACUAGGUGUAGGAGGUAUCGACCCCUUCUGUGCCGCAGUUAACACAAUAAGUACUCCGCCUGGGAAGUACGAUCGCAAGAUUAAAAACUUAAAUGAAUUGACGGGGUCAUAGU
RNAcentral lists this ribosomal RNA (555 nucleotides) under uncultured bacterium. RNAcentral describes it as "partial 16S ribosomal RNA". It matches the Rfam family "Bacterial small subunit ribosomal RNA", at positions 355 to 925 of the family's 1533-position model. The record is from RNAcentral.